GGGUUGCGGACAGUGUCUGGUGGGUAGUUUGACUGGGGCGGUCUCCUCCUAAAGAGUAACGGAGGAGCACGAAGGUCAGCUAAUCCUGGUCGGACAUCAGGAGGUUAGUGCAAUGGCAUAAGCUGGCUUGACUGCGAGCGUGACGGCGCGAGCAGGUGCGAAAGCAGGUCAUAGUGAUCCGGUGGUUCUGAAUGGAAGGGCCAUCGCUCAACGGAUAAAAGGUACUCCGGGGAUAACAGGCUGAUACCGCCCAAGAGUUCAUAUCGACGGCGGUGUUUGGCACCUCGAUGUCGGCUCAUCACAUCCUGGGGCUGAAGUAGGUCCCAAGGGUAUGGCUGUUCGCCAUUUAAAGUGGUACGCGAGCUGGGUUUAGAACGUCGUGAGACAGUUCGGUCCCUAUCUGCCGUGGGCGCUGGAGAAUUGAGGGGGGCUGCUCCUAGUACGAGAGGACCGGAGUGGACGCAUCACUGGUGUUCGGGUUGUCAUGCCAAUGGCAUUGCCCGGUAGCUAAAUGCGGAAGAGAUAAGUGCUGAAAGCAUCUAAGCACGAAACUUGCCCCGAGAUGAGUUCUCCCUGACCCUUUAAGGGUCCUGAAGGAACGUUGAAGACGACGACGUUGAUAGGCCGGGUGUGUAAGCGCAGCGAUGCGUUGAGCUAACCGGUACUAAUGAACCGUGAGGCUUAACCUU
Molecule: ribosomal RNA, 689 nt
Filed under: Klebsiella oxytoca
Lineage: Bacteria; Pseudomonadati; Pseudomonadota; Gammaproteobacteria; Enterobacterales; Enterobacteriaceae
Also listed under: 5 other names
Description: partial 23S ribosomal RNA
Rfam family: Bacterial large subunit ribosomal RNA
Source: RNAcentral